AGCAAUAAUGUAGGUUACCUGGCAGGGGACUAUCAUGUGACACUGCUUCACUAAGUCUGUAAUAAUAGUUUUGCCAGCUGAGGAAACAAGAACAUGGUAACAUGGCCACUGACCGACGCUGUCACUGGUCUGUGCAUUGCCUGUCUUGUUUUGAAAAGUGUAGCUAAACUUACAUAUUUCUGCUGAAGCCCUUACUUGACUAUAAUGUUUCUGAAUAUACAACUUACAAUAAUCAUGUAUUCUACAUUAUCUAAUAGUUUUUGGUAGAAGUAAAGCAACUUUUGCUGGGGAUUCUAACCUGAACAGCACUGAAUGCUUAAAUCUAAUGCACCUCCUGCCAAGUCAAUGGAGUGUAAAAUAUUUAUGUAUUUUAAUCCUUUUUUUGCAUAUGGUGGUGGGAGAGCUCCACUGCUCCUGUGGGGGAAUGCAUGCCAUCACACUGCAGCAGCAUUUCAGCCAGCCUGUCCUGGCCACACAAUGACUACACAGCCCAAGAGUGACACCACCAUUGAUGAGAAACCCGAGGACAACCUCUGGCUACAACUGGGCUUUACUGUGGACUCUGAGACAGAUGCCUACUCACUACUGCAGACCACCACAGACAAGUUAGAAGUCCCAGGAUACUGAGAUACAGUACUUAGAGUGGAAUGGGAUCAACUUGUAUAAGAUAUAUACAUGCAUUGGCAGAAGAGCUCCAAAGUUUGCUUAAUGUUGUAGAUGAGUAUGGAAAUGACUGUGAUGUGAGAUUUUAGUAGUGAGAAAGCAAGCUGAUGAUGGUGAAAAUAUUCCAGAGGAAAAGAGAAAUUCAUGAUGGAAAUUGGGAGGGAAUGAGUUGCAACAGACUGAUAAAUGGAAGUACCUGGGGAUGUGGAUGAGUCCAAAUGGGUGUGUAGAGGUGAAGAAUGAGAAAAUAGAUGUAGUGAACCAGUGUCUGGGUGAACUAGUAAGUGCAGCAAGGAUGAGAACAAGUAAAUGUGAUGUACUGUGAAAAAUUUGGAAGAGCUUGGUUGCUCCAAGCAUGUGUGAUUCCAUGGAAUUUGAUUGAAUUAGAGAAAUGAAAAAUAGGGCAGCAUAGAAUGACAAGGAUGGCACUGAAUGCACCAAGGUAUGUAGCAAUGGAGGCUUUGAGAAAGACCUGUGAAAAGCAUGUGUGUUAGAUUAGAAUGAAUUGGUGAUGCAAGAUUAAUGAGAAAUAUGUUUCUGUGGGAUAUUAGGAGAAACAGG
Long non-coding RNA from Scylla paramamosain (green mud crab), 1224 nucleotides. RefSeq lists it as uncharacterized. NCBI's taxonomy places the organism in Eukaryota, Metazoa, Arthropoda, Malacostraca, Decapoda, Portunidae. The record is from RefSeq and is a predicted model, not a curated record. The transcript is spliced from 3 exons.